AGCGCAGGCGGACCGGCAAGUUGGAAGUGAAAAACUAUGGGCUCAACCCAUAAAUUGCUUUCAAAACUGCUGGCCUUGAGUAGUGCAGAGGUAGGUGGAAUUCCCGGUGUAGCGGUGGAAUGCGUAGAUAUCGGGAGGAACACCAGUGGCGAAGGCGACCUACUGGGCACCAACUGACGCUGAGGCUCGAAAGCAUGGGUAGCAAACA
RNAcentral lists this ribosomal RNA (208 nucleotides) under uncultured bacterium. Its description in RNAcentral is "partial 16S ribosomal RNA". It matches the Rfam family "Bacterial small subunit ribosomal RNA", at positions 568 to 774 of the family's 1533-position model. The record is from RNAcentral.